This 233-nucleotide unclassified non-coding RNA is filed under the name Glomus sp. RNAcentral's name for it is "partial contains 5.8S ribosomal RNA and internal transcribed spacer 2". The stretch from base 1 to 71 matches the Rfam family "5.8S ribosomal RNA", at positions 84 to 154 of the family's 154-position model. The record is from RNAcentral. Lineage: Eukaryota; Fungi; Glomeromycota; Glomeromycetes; Glomerales; Glomeraceae.
GUGAAUCAUCGAAUUUUUGAACGCAAAUUGCACUCUCUGGUAUUCCGGAGGGUAUGCCUGUUUGAGGGUCAGUUUAAAUAAAAAUCGUUGUGGUUGCUGGCUUUCGUUGUGAUGCACCUGAUUUUGGUCGUCCUGCUUUCGGUUAAGUGAGCUAAAAUUUUGCAUGAUUUUUGUCGAACGUAUUUAAAUUAUGUUACGUACGUUUGCGAUAUCGAAUACUAUGUUUGGUCAUC